UACGUAGGGUGCGAGCGUUAAUCGGAAUUACUGGGCGUAAAGCGUGCGCAGGCGGUUCUGUAAGACCGAUGUGAAAUCCCCGGGCUUAACCUGGGAACUGCAUUGGUGACUGCAGGGCUAGAGUGUGUCAGAGGGAGGUGGAAUUCCGCGUGUAGCAGUGAAAUGCGUAGAGAUGCGGAGGAACACCGAUGGCGAAGGCAGCCUCCUGGGAUAACACUGACGCUCAGGCACGAAAGCGUGGGGAGCAAACAGGAUUAGAUACCCUGGUAGUCCACGCCCUAAACGAUGUCUACUAGUUGUCGGGGAUUAAUUUCCUUGGUAACGCAGCUAACGCGGGAAGUAGACCGCCUGGGGAGUACGGUCGCAAGAUUAAA
This 374-nucleotide ribosomal RNA is filed under the name uncultured bacterium. RNAcentral's name for it is "bacterial SSU rRNA". It matches the Rfam family "Bacterial small subunit ribosomal RNA", at positions 524 to 898 of the family's 1533-position model. The record is from RNAcentral.